Molecule: non-coding RNA, 5384 nt
Organism: Petromyzon marinus (sea lamprey)
Lineage: Eukaryota; Metazoa; Chordata; Hyperoartia; Petromyzontiformes; Petromyzontidae
Source: RefSeq, a predicted model, not a curated record
UGAGUAGUCGGUGCUGCGUCUCUCACUCAACAGUGGCAGCGUUCGGGUUUCCAGAUCCCAGCACGCACUCGGUGGGGCCACGUGCUCGCGACUCGCUCUGUCUGCGCGGUGCUCACAGCGGGGGAAACCCAAACUCGUCGAUUGGUUAUUUAGUGGACCACAUCAGUGGUGGUCGCGAGCUGGUGGGUCGCUGAUUGCUACAAGUAUAUGAUCGUCAGCAGAAGCGGAAUCAUCAGUGGCGGCAGCAACAGCGGCGACGGCGGUCAUCAUCAUCAUUAUCAUCAUACGUGUCAUCAUCAGCAUCACCGGCAAAAGCAUCACCGAUAGCAUUGCCACUUUGACAUGACCAUUAGCAUCAGCUGUGACGCUACCAGCAACGCGAUGACGAAUUAGCAGCAUUAUCAUCAUCAGCAGCAGCCCCAAUAUUAUCGACAGCAGCAGCAGCAACAUUUUCACCAAUAUUAUCAUCAACAGUAUCAUCAUCAUCAUCCUCAUUAGCAGCAGUAACGCUCAUCAUAGCUGACGAAUGUUAGCUAUCGACAUCAUUAGCACAAUCGGUCGUCUUUGGAGUCAUCUUGAAUAUUCCGCACGCCAGCUUAACUGAAGCGAGCCCAAAUAGCAUCGAGCCAAAAUAUACACUCGGAUGUAUAACUAAUUUAAUUCGAGUAAUCGGCAACGUGUCCCUUGACACAUUCCACACGUGUCAUCAUCACCACCAUCAUCGCCGCGUUCUCCGCUUCUCCAUAUUUGCACCCCAGUCCUAUCGUGACCAUCUCUCACCUCCAACUCCUCACCAUCCCAAGCCAUCAGCAUCAUCAUCAUCAUCCCAUUUAAUUCGCCCUGCGUCUUCAUCAUCAUCAUCCCAUCGCUAUCGCGUCCAAUGUUUCAUCUCUCUGGGACGUGAGUGGAUGAGUGUCGAGGGACAAGUAUCGCUACACGUGCCAGCCAGACAGACGGACAGACACGAGGUCUCAUCCGAUGCUGCAGUAGCAGCAGUAGCAACAGCAGCAGCAGGAACGCAGGACCCAGUUUUGCUUUCAUUUCCGCCUCGAGUAUUGAAUGUUGCGCGCUCCCGGGAGUCGCCUCUUGCGAAUUUCCAUCGCCACCCACUGGGCUGGAUAUUACCUCUGGCGCAAACAUUGCAGGAGUGCGGCUACUGCUAGUGUCGUUCUGCUGUGUCUGGGUGCACGGUGCUGGCCACUGCAAUCACUCCCUCGUGAGAUACUUCACCAGCCAGAGCCACAUGAUCCCCAAAAACCUGUCGAUGACGCUGCCAACCAAAGUCUUAAUCAAUGAGGCCUACCGGAAGACUUGUAUCGAGGAAAACCAGGCUAACUAUCUGCAGGCUCUGGGCGGGCUGCUGUGCACCAUCGAGAGCUUGGCGGGGAAGGGCGGCUGGACUCCCCCGCAAAUAUUUACCAGGCUGAGGGCCGACAUACUGGGGGAAUGCCCAGCCCCAGUUAGGGCGCAGAUUCAGACGAUACUGAAACGUAAAGAUUUCAUCAAGGCCAUUCGCAGCUGCUUGAGCAUGUACGUGAGCUUUUGCAGCUCCCAGGUCGACUCAGACUGAAGUGGGAGUUACGCCUCGUACGACUCAGACUGGAAUUGAGUGACUGCAAAAGACCUCCCCUAGGUCGACUCAGCCAAAAAUGGAUAGCUUGCACCGCAGGGUCGACUCGCGAGCCACAUGGAGCAGCUUCGACGUCGAUCCGGACUCAAAUUCAACGAAGGAACACGUCUAGGUCGCCUCGGACAGAAAUGAGGGACCAAUAAAGACUUCUGCGAGGUCAACCGAUUGAAUUGACCGCCGAAUGAAUGCCUCUCCUAGGCCGACUCGGCCAUAAAAUGAACACUCAAGGGAGGAGUUAUCUGUCAACUUAGUCUGGAAUGUGGAACCGGAGAAGGCCUCCACUAGGUGGGCUCAAACUGAAACAUGGAGCACCCCCCUCGUGAUGGCUCAGCCUGAAAUGAGCAGCCACAGACGACGAUGUUUUUUGUCGUUGUUUUUAAAAUGACGGUUGCUGAGCCUCAAAACGCCGAGCGGCCAGCGACGAACAGCACCCCCUGAGGGCGGCGAGAUGUCUGCCGGCUUUGCCUUCGGGCUGAAGUGAUCCCCUCGGUGUGUGUGCGGGACACGCUGAGGUCUACUCGGCCUGAAACGGGGGACCGAUUAAGGCCCACCUCUGUUUGAAGUCGGCUCGGCAAAAAAAAAUGUGGCGAGGCGAAAUGGAUAUACCCAUGUAUAUAUGUUGAACUUCUUUCGCGCCGUAUGUGUAGCCAACCGUGAUAAUCGGAGGUGCGUGGGAAGGACAACAAACUGAACACCAAAAGCAGUUCCAAAAAAAUGAGUUCAUGGCUCAGUACCUCAGGACGGAACUACACAGAGGACUAUGUGCAAGUGCACUGUACAGUCAUCAUGAUUGACUUUUAAUGCACCGCCCGAGGGAAGACUUCUUAAUGAUUUCCCAGGAUAGUCGCAGCAGCAACACCUCUCUCAUCGAAAUAACAGAGCAAUUCUGUAAAAACCAGGGACACGUGGCAAACCUGCUCUUCUCUCCGUGUCUCUCUCGCCGCUCUGAAAUCCAUCGUAUUCCACGGUUCGUGACGACUCUAGCUCGCGAUUGUAUUCAGUAAUCGAUUAUUGUCAUCAUCGUAACACUGUGGCGAGUGGUAGCGGCCUCUAGUGGCUGUGCAGGGGUGACGUGAACCCACUGGGCGCUCGAGGAAAGAGUCGAGCCUCACGCCCGCCGUUCAGCGUAUCGCGCGACGCGUGGGCCUGGAGAAUUGACGACGACCCCAUGAAUCGAUGACGAGAUAUGUCGUCAAAACCACGUCAAGUUUGCAACAUCGCACAACCUCGUUACUACCGACGAAGAGGAGGAGGUUAUUAUGGUUUAGUACCGAUGGUCGUGAAUUUAGUUUUUUUUUACAUUAUCUGCGCUCGCUUGCACAUCUCAGCAAACUGGAAGCAUCUUUAGCAUCCACAUCUCAUCCCUCGACACGAUCAAAUGGGCACCCCCAGCGGCAGUUUUCCUGCAUGGCACGGGGUGCCUUGGCACUGGAGCCUGAAGGUGGGCAUUCGUCUCCCAGCUUGGAUGGGGGAGGGGGGGGGCUACUGUGGACUUUCCGCAAUAGAAUAAAAAAUAAUUCAUUUGGCAAAAAAUUGGACUAUGGCGGCGCCGUCACACGUUAGCAAACUCCAAUGAUGCCACGCGAUCUUUAAUAUCCGCUGUGAGUGAAGCAGAUAACGGUGUAUGGUGUUUUUUUUCAAGGCUAAUACACCCGCAGCGUUAACCAGGGCUGACUACUGGAGUCCAACCGUGAAUCUCUGCAACAAGCGGUGGACGCACUGCCGUUGGGCCGUGUCACAUAUAUUAACCAGGUGAUAGACCUGUCCCGUUUCUCCAAACAUUUAAAUACUCUUAAUUUCCACGAAGUUUUGUAUUUAUUUUUACAGGACAAUGUAUACUUAUGUAUCUUGAACUUCUUUCGCACCGUACAUAGCCAACCGUGCUAAUCGGAGGUGUGUGGGAGGACAGCAAACUAAACACAAAAAGCAGUUCUAAAUAAAUUAAUUUUCAAUCUAGCUGAUUUAAAAGUAGUAUGUCAGGUGUUGGAGCGGUGGCAGAGCGGUUGGCGCACUGCGCUACGAACUCAGUGAACCUGAGUUCGAUUCCCAGCCGCGGUCAACAUCAUUGACGUAAAGAAGCAGCAGGGCUCUGAUAUCCGGAAUCGAUCAUGGGCCUCCGUUUACAUCCACCUUCCCCAAUCUGCACUGACCAGAGUGGUGAAGUAUAGUCAAACAAUCCCCAUGAGCUACGCAACGUAGGGAGGUCUUCAUUCAGCAAAGGGCCACUCAUGUCUAGUUACUAAGUGCACAGUGAUACUCGGGAAUAGCAUUCCAGAGAGGCAAAGAGGAAGCGGAACAAAGGCACUCUGCUCAGGAAGGGGCACAAAGGGAAGAAGGAAAUAACCGGGCCAAGAUGUCGGGGAUGAGACGGUGGUGGUGAUGAUGAUGAUGAGAGGGUAGAGAGGGAGAAGAGAGAAGGAAGGAGCGGAUCAGAAGUGAGCUGCGCGCAGGAGCGGCGUCUGUUUUCACAGGGGGCAGGGAGAGGGGAGGGACUCCGAGUGGGCGUGUCCACGCACAAGUCACGUGAUUUAUGGGAUGCCAGAUAUAUAUGCACAGUAUAUGUUUUAAUCCAACGGGCCCAGCGGCAUCGGUUUAAAGCGAGCAAAACUGUGGGCCGGGGUUGGGCCUUGUUCGGCAAAAUGCCGCUUGGCUGCCAGAUAUUAUUUGAAAAAAAGCACUCCACAAUAACCAUGGGUCCAUUUUCAAUGCAAAGAGUAAUGCCGUAUUGUAAAAAAAAAGUUGCAAAGUGUCAUGGAGCAUUAUGGGGCGGGGUAAAUGCAAAGAGAAGUGGAAUUCGGUGCUCUGACUCUGCGAACCUCCUCUACUACCAGGCCAUGAUUGAAUUAACACCGUAAAACGAGAGUUGCCAAUGAAGAGAUUAUAAAGGUGAGCUCCGGUAUUUAUUCGUGUGAUAAAGGAAUAAAUACUUCGCUCUGUGUUGUUUAAAAUAUCCGAGGUGUCAUCAUAAACCUUUCCCGACUACGAGGUAAGAUGUUGCAUUCAAGAUAAUGAUUCGGUGACGGCUGAGAGAGGCGCACAACCAAACAAAAACAGAACGAUUUGGCCAAGGCCCUUGUUCUCAUCACACGCAAAGGAUUUGCCAUGAAGCAGGAUUAUAGAGAGCGAGAGGAAACUCGCUGUAUGGGAUGGGCUAGUGGUUGAGUGGGCGUGGCUAUAUAAAAGUGGGCGUGAAGGAGGGAGGAAGGGGAGGGGGCUGCCAGCUGCAUCGCCACGUGUCCCGGUUGAGCCUCGCGGAUUAUUUUGGUCGCCGGAAUGCGAAUGCAAUAAACGGUCAUGGAUGAUCAUAUUUACACACGGUGGUUUAACCGCACGGUGAUUAACGUCUUGUUGAAAACAAGCCAACACGAAAAGGAAUCGCUGAGUCGUGGGGAGAGCUGGCGCAGUGGUUAGCGCACUCCACUAUGAAUCCUUGGCGGCCCGAGUUCGACAUCCUGGACUGCCAUAUACCCACCUACCCACUCCACUAAAAUACCUCCACUGACCAGCGUGGUGAAGUAUGGUCAAACAGCCCUCCCGUGAUCGACACACGGCGGUUUUUGGGGUGAAGAGGAAAGCCUUCAUCCAGCAGUGGAUUGACAGCACGGGAUGUAAAUUGUAAAUGAAAUUUUUUUUUCUGAAGACAAAUAAUCAGACCGUGGGGAAUUAUGGUGUACAUGAUCAAAAUCCGUUGUACAUUCUUUCUACAUUGUAUAUAUAUUUUUUAAAUAAAGGUGUUAACAUGGUGAAUGCGUGC